This 428-nucleotide ribosomal RNA is filed under the name Listeria monocytogenes. RNAcentral's name for it is "bacterial SSU rRNA". It matches the Rfam family "Bacterial small subunit ribosomal RNA", at positions 823 to 1252 of the family's 1533-position model. The record is from RNAcentral. Lineage: Bacteria; Bacillati; Bacillota; Bacilli; Caryophanales; Listeriaceae.
UUAGGGGGUUUCCGCCCCUUAGUGCUGCAGCUAACGCAUUAAGCACUCCGCCUGGGGAGUACGACCGCAAGGUUGAAACUCAAAGGAAUUGACGGGGGCCCGCACAAGCGGUGGAGCAUGUGGUUUAAUUCGAAGCAACGCGAAGAACCUUACCAGGUCUUGACAUCCUUUGACCACUCUGGAGACAGAGCUUUCCCUUCGGGGACAAAGUGACAGGUGGUGCAUGGUUGUCGUCAGCUCGUGUCGUGAGAUGUUGGGUUAAGUCCCGCAACGAGCGCAACCCUUGAUUUUAGUUGCCAGCAUUUAGUUGGGCACUCUAAAGUGACUGCCGGUGCAAGCCGGAGGAAGGUGGGGAUGACGUCAAAUCAUCAUGCCCCUUAUGACCUGGGCUACACACGUGCUACAAUGGAUAGUACAAAGGGUCGCGA